GGAAUUUUCCGCAAUGGGGGAAACCCUGACGCAGCGACGCCGCGUGAGGGAUGAAGGCCUCUGGGCUGUAAACCUCUUUUAUCAAGGAAGAAGAUCUGACGGUACUUGAUGAAUAAGCCACGGCUAAUUCCGUGCCAGCAGCCGCGGUAAUACGGGAGUGGCAAGCGUUAUCCGGAAUUAUUGGGCGUAAAGCGUCCGCAGGCGGUCUGUCAAGUCUGCUGUUAAAGCGUGGAGCUUAACUCCAUUUCGGCAGUGGAAACUGACAGACUAGAGUGUGGUAGGGGCAGAGGGAAUUCCCGGUGUAGCGGUGAAAUGCGUAGAUAUCGGGAAGAACACCAGUGGCGAAGGCGCUCUGCUGGGCCAUAACUGACGCUCAUGGACGAAAGCCAGGGGAGCGAAAGGGAUUAGAUACCCCAGUAGUC
This 422-nucleotide ribosomal RNA is filed under the name uncultured cyanobacterium. Its description in RNAcentral is "bacterial SSU rRNA". It matches the Rfam family "Bacterial small subunit ribosomal RNA", at positions 358 to 795 of the family's 1533-position model. Lineage: Bacteria; Bacillati; Cyanobacteriota. The record is from RNAcentral.